CAGAUGAGCGGCCGGCUCCCGGCCCUCGGUCAUCGUCGCACCCGGUGACACCUCGUGCCCGCGGCCGCCUCCGUGUGGCGCUGACAUAUCUAAACUCCAGCCAGAACAACUUGUUUCACUUCUAAAGAGAAGAAAGGCGAUGCCUACCAUAGGGCUCGUUUUGACAGCACACAAUGCUACAGAAAAAAAGAUAAAUCACCAAGAGGGAAACCAAAUCCAGCAGUAUUCAGGUUACUAUUCAAAUGAGAUUGGUCUGCCAGAACGAAAGCUUCCUCCUGUGCUUGUAUAGUUCUUCACCUCUCUCCAAACCUACAGCAAAUUGAAGGCUUUUGCUGUGCACACGGCAGGCAAUGGGACCCUUCUGUAAUUUCCUUAUUUUCUGCAAAAUCCAUCAUUUCUUUCCAUGCAAGACAUUUAACCUCUUCUGCGGGCCAUCUUCACUACUGGAACAACUUCUUUUUCUCUGUGCAAGUAAAACUCUUUCUUUCAAUGGUGA
Non-coding RNA from Coturnix japonica (Japanese quail), 496 nucleotides. The record is from RefSeq and is a predicted model, not a curated record. Lineage: Eukaryota; Metazoa; Chordata; Aves; Galliformes; Phasianidae.